AUUGAACGCUGGCGGCAGGCUUAACACAUGCAAGUCGAGCGAGCGGCGGACGGGUGAGUAAUGUCUGGGAAACUGCCUGAUGGAGGGGGCUAACUACUGGAAACGGUAGCUAAUACCGCAUACCAUCAGAUGUGCCCAGAUGGGAUUAGCUAGUCGGUGGGGUAAUGGCUCACCUAGGCGACGCUCCCUAGCUGGUCUGAGAGGAUGACCAGCCACACUGGAACGGAGACACGGGCCAGACUCCGACGGGAGGCAGCAGUGGGGAAUAUUGCACAAUGGGCGCAAGCCUGAUGCAGCCAUGCCGCGUGUGUGAAGAAGGCCUGCGGGUUGUAAAGCACUUUCAGCGAGGAGGCGUUACUCGCAGAAGAAGCACCGGCUAACUCCGGGCCAGCAGCCGCGGUAAUUC
Molecule: ribosomal RNA, 406 nt
Filed under: uncultured bacterium
Lineage: Bacteria
Description: partial 16S ribosomal RNA
Rfam family: Bacterial small subunit ribosomal RNA
Source: RNAcentral